UACGUAGGGAGCAAGCGUUGUCCGGAUUCACUGGGUGUAAAGGGUGCGCAGGCGGAUUGGCAAGUCAGAGGUGAAAUCUCACGGCUCAACCGUGAAACUGCCUUUGAUACUGCUGAUCUUGAGUUAGGGAGAGGUUGAUGGAAUUCUAGGUGUAGCGGUGAAAUGCGUAGAUAUCUAGAAGAACACCAGUGGCGAAGGCGGCUAACUGGUCCGGUUCUGACGCUGAGGCGCGAAAGCGUGGGGAGCAAACAGG
RNAcentral lists this ribosomal RNA (253 nucleotides) under uncultured bacterium. RNAcentral's name for it is "partial 16S ribosomal RNA". It matches the Rfam family "Bacterial small subunit ribosomal RNA", at positions 524 to 776 of the family's 1533-position model. The record is from RNAcentral.